Molecule: ribosomal RNA, 440 nt
Filed under: uncultured bacterium
Lineage: Bacteria
Description: partial 16S ribosomal RNA
Rfam family: Bacterial small subunit ribosomal RNA
Source: RNAcentral
CUACGGGCUGCUCCAGUGAGGAAUAUUGCACAAUGGGGGGAACCCUGAUGCAGCAACGCCGCGUGGAGGAUGACGCAUUUCGGUGUGUAAACUCCUUUUAUAUGUCAAGAAAAUGACGGUAGCAUAUGAAUAAGCACCGGCUAACUCCGUGCCAGCAGCCGCGGUAAUACGGGAGGGUGCAAGCGUUACUCGGAAUCACUGGGCGUAAAGGACGCGUAGGCGGGUUGGAAAGUCAGGUGUGAAAUCCUACAGCGUAACUGUAGAACUGCACUUGAAACUUCUAAUCUAGAGUAUGGGAGGGGGAGAUGGAAUUAGUGGUGUAGGGGUAAAAUCCGUAGAUAUCACUAGGAAUACCUAAAGCGAAGGCGAUCUCCUGGAACAUUACUGACGCUAAGGCGUGAAAGCGUGGGGAGCAAACAGGAUUAGAUACCCGAGUAGUC